GAAAUGCGAUACGUAAUGUGAAUUGCAGAAUUCAGUGAAUCAUCGAAUCUUUGACCGCAUUGGCUGACUGAUGCAGGAUUUCACAAGGGUCGGCAACGAUUCUUGUUAAACUCGAUCUCAAAUCAAGUAAGACUACCCGCUGAACUUAA
This 149-nucleotide unclassified non-coding RNA is filed under the name uncultured fungus. RNAcentral describes it as "sequence contains ITS1". The stretch from base 1 to 92 matches the Rfam family "5.8S ribosomal RNA", at positions 50 to 154 of the family's 154-position model. Rfam says of the family: 5.8S ribosomal RNA (5.8S rRNA) is a component of the large subunit of the eukaryotic ribosome. Lineage: Eukaryota; Fungi. The record is from RNAcentral.